RNAcentral lists this ribosomal RNA (492 nucleotides) under uncultured bacterium. RNAcentral's name for it is "bacterial SSU rRNA". It matches the Rfam family "Bacterial small subunit ribosomal RNA", at positions 28 to 528 of the family's 1533-position model. The record is from RNAcentral.
GACGAACGCUGGCGGCGUGCCUAACACAUGCAAGUCGAGCGGAGAUAGGCUGAUGGUAACUGAAGCUUAUCUUAGCGGCGGACGGGUGAGUAACACGUGGGCAACCUGCCUUGGAGUGGGGGAUAACACCGGGAAAUCGGUGCUAAUACCGCAUAACAUACACAUACUGCAUGGUGAGUGUAUCAAAGGAGCAAUCCGCUUUAAGAUGGGCCCGCGGCUGAUUAGCUAGUUGGUAAGGUAACGGCUUACCAAGGCGACGAUCAGUAGCCGACCUGAGAGGGUGACCGGCCACACUGGAACUGAGACACGGUCCAGACUCCUACGGGAGGCAGCAGUGGGGAAUAUUGCGCAAUGGGGGAAACCCUGACGCAGCAACGCCGCGUGGAGGAAGAAGGUCUUCGGAUUGUAAACUCCUGUCUUCUGGGACGAAGUAUGACGGUAUCUGACCAGAAAGCCACGGCUAACUACGUGCCAGCAGCCGCGGUAAAGAGU